RNAcentral lists this long non-coding RNA (228 nucleotides) under Nicotiana benthamiana. RNAcentral's name for it is "long non-coding RNA (NBEN_LNC029540)". Lineage: Eukaryota; Viridiplantae; Streptophyta; Magnoliopsida; Solanales; Solanaceae. The record is from RNAcentral.
UUGUUGCGUUCUUGAGCGUAUCUGUUUACUCAUAUCUACUCUAUUAAGAGAGUCUUGUUUAAGUGAGUGCUAAGUGUUUUAUACACUUGAAGGGAUGUGUUAGUCCUUUGUAUUGUAAGAAGGAACUAGUGUUUCCUUUGGUUGAAGUCUUGGAGUGUUGUAUCUUCGAGCAAAGGUUGUUGAGGCUUGUGUCCUCAGUUUGUAAAGGUUUGUUGAGCACCCGUAAGC